GCAGCUGGAAGCGUGGCCGAGUGGUUUAAGGCAACGGUCUUGAAAACCGUCGAUGGGCAACUAUCCUAGAGUUCUUAUCUAAGGUUCCUUCCAGUUGCA
RNAcentral lists this transfer RNA (99 nucleotides) under Pseudomonas fulva. Its description in RNAcentral is "tRNA-Ser". The stretch from base 7 to 93 matches the Rfam family "tRNA". From Rfam's summary of the family: Transfer RNA (tRNA) molecules are approximately 80 nucleotides in length. Their secondary structure includes four short double-helical elements and three loops (D, anti-codon, and T loops). Further hydrogen bonds mediate the characteristic L-shaped molecular structure. tRNAs have two regions of fundamental functional importance: the anti-codon, which is responsible for specific mRNA codon recognition, and the 3' end, to which the tRNAs corresponding amino acid is attached (by aminoacyl-tRNA synthetases). tRNAs cope with the degeneracy of the genetic code in two manners: having more than one tRNA (with a specific anti-codon) for a particular amino acid; and 'wobble' base-pairing, i.e. permitting non-standard base-pairing at the 3rd anti-codon position. The record is from RNAcentral. Lineage: Bacteria; Pseudomonadati; Pseudomonadota; Gammaproteobacteria; Pseudomonadales; Pseudomonadaceae.